RNAcentral lists this small RNA (2459 nucleotides) under Pan troglodytes (chimpanzee). RNAcentral describes it as "retained intron". Lineage: Eukaryota; Metazoa; Chordata; Mammalia; Primates; Hominidae. The record is from RNAcentral.
CGGCACUCAAGAUGGUAGGAGAAUGAGCUCCUGUUUCGGAGGUCCGGGGCGCGUGAAGUGCUGGGGAUGUGGCUCUGGGGACUUGGAGGCUCAGCGGCUCCGGGGCUCCGGGGUUCCGGGGCUCGGGAGCGAGUAGUGAGUGACUGGGCCUGCUGUUCCCACAGCUGCGCCGCGAGGCCCGCCUGCGCCGCGAGUACCUGUACCGCAAGGCCCGGGAGGAGGCGCAGCGCUCAGCCCAGGAGAGGAAGGAGCGGCUGCGGCGCGCGCUGGAAGAAAACCGCCUGAUUCCCACUGAGAUACGCCGAGAGGCUCUGGCCUUACAGGGGUCCCUGGAGUUUGAUGAUGCCGGAGGUGAAGGUGUGACCAGCCACGUGGAUGAUGAAUACCGAUGGGCAGGAGUCGAGGAUCCCAAGGUUAUGAUCACUACCUCCCGAGACCCCAGUUCCCGCCUCAAGAUGUUUGCAAAGGAGCUGAAGCUGGUGUUCCCGGGCGCCCAGCGAAUGAACCGAGGUCGACAUGAAGUGGGGGCACUGGUGCGAGCCUGCAAAGCCAACGGCGUCACCGAUCUGCUGGUCGUUCACGAGCAUCGGGGCACACCUGGUGAGGCCGGAGGGAGGGAGUCGGGGUGGGAGCCGUCUGAGGGCAGACGGGGUCUCUGACAGCCACCUUUCCCUGCCAGUGGGGCUCAUCGUCAGCCACCUGCCCUUUGGUCCUACUGCCUACUUCACGCUGUGCAAUGUGGUCAUGCGGCAUGACAUCCCAGACCUGGGCACCAUGUCGGAGGCCAAGCCCCACCUCAUCACACACGGCUUCUCCUCCCGCCUGGGCAAGCGGGUCUCUGACAUCCUCCGAUACUUAUUUCCCGUGCCCAAAGAUGACAGCCACCGGGUCAUUACCUUCGCAAACCAGGACGACUACAUAUCAUUCCGGCACCACGUGUACAAGAAGACAGACCACCGCAACGUGGAGCUCACUGAGGUCGGGCCCCGCUUUGAGCUGAAGCUGUACAUGAUCCGUCUGGGCACGCUGGAGCAGGAGGCCACAGCAGACGUGGAGUGGCGCUGGCACCCUUACACCAAUACCGCACGCAAGAGGGUCUUCCUGAGCGCCGAGUGAGCACACUCACCACUCAGUCAGGACAUGGACUUGGAACUCAGGAUGGGGCUGUCAUAGACAGACCCACCAGUAGGAACUGUCACAGAAUGGCCUGCUGAACUGGGAUGCGGAACUGUGGCGGGUGGAGAGGUCUGAAUAAACCGUCUGUGUCAUGGCCCCGCCUGCCUCUGAGUGGUCAGGCCAAGUCUGCAGGGCAAAGCCCAUGGGAUCCCUUUGGGUGGGGACCUGAUGGCUGUGGGACGUGCUUGGGCCUGGAGUCAGUGUGGGGGUUAACAUAGAGAGAGAUUUGAUGCUAACAUCCCCUCAAGAGUGAGGGUCCUAUGAGCUCUUCAGCAGGCAGAUGUGGGUAGCAGGGCCAGCCUGUGUCAGGGGCAGCCCACCAAGUUAACUCACUGAGUGGAAGCCGCCAGUGUGCCAACGCGGAGGGGACGGGCCACACCCAGUGCUCAGCAGCUGAUUCCUCAUGUAAGUGGCAUCAUGUGGUAUUUGUUCUGUGUCUGGCUUAUUUCUAUUAACAUAAUGUUCUCCAGGUUCCUCCAUGUUAUUGCAAAUGAUAGGAUUUCUUUCCUUGUAAAAAAUAUACAUGCCACAUUUUCUUACCAAUCCAUCCACCAAUAGACACUUAGGUCGUUUUCAUAGUUUGGCAGUUGUGGAAAUGCUGCAGUAAACAUGGGAGUAUAGCUAUCUUUUGAAGAUAAUGAUUUCAUCUCUUUUUUAUAUGUAUACCCAGAAGUGGGAUUGCUGCAUCAAAUGGUGGUUCUAUUUUUAAUUUUUUGAGGAACCGCCAUACUGUUUUCCAUAAAGGCUGUACUAAUUUCCAUUCUCACCAACAGUUCACUAGGGUUCCCUUUUCUCCACAUCGUUGCCAACAUUCUUUAUCUUGUGUUUUUUAAUAACAGCUAUCCUAACAGGUAUGAGGUGAUCUCUCUCAUUGCGGUUUUGAUUUGCAUUUCCCUAACGGUUGGUGAUACUGAGCAUUUUUGCAUAUACCAGGUCAUUUGUUCUUUGUUGUUGACUUGAGUCCCUUAUAUAGUUUGGAUACUGCUGUGGCCUGAAUGUUUGUGUCCCCCAAAAAUUCGUAUAUUGAACUCUCAUCCCUAAGGUCAACAGUUUAGGGAAGCGAUUAGGUCAUGAGGACUCUGCCCUCUUGCAUAGAAUUAGUGCUCUUAUAUAAGAUGCCCGAGGGAGCUCUUUUGCCCCUCCUGCCAUGUGAGGACACAGCUAGAAGCUACCAUCUGUGAACCAGGAAGCCCCCCUCACCAGACACUGAAUCUGCUGGAGCCACCAUCUUGGACUUCCCAGCCUCCAGAGCUGUAAGAAAUAAAUGCCUGUUGUUUAAGCUA